GCUCGGGUGGCGGAAUUGGUAGACGCGCAGGAUUCAGGAUCCUGUGGGGGUUUCCCCGUGAGGGUUCGAGUCCCUCCCCGAGCA
Molecule: transfer RNA, 84 nt
Filed under: Gemmatimonadota bacterium
Lineage: Bacteria; Pseudomonadati; Gemmatimonadota
Description: Gemmatimonadetes bacterium tRNA-Leu
Rfam family: tRNA
About the family: Transfer RNA (tRNA) molecules are approximately 80 nucleotides in length. Their secondary structure includes four short double-helical elements and three loops (D, anti-codon, and T loops).
Source: RNAcentral